AGCAGCCACCAGGCCCAGGCUCUUCCAGCAGCCACUAGGCCCAGGAUCCUCCUGCUCCACCAGGCCCAGGCUCUUCCAGCAGCCACCAGGCCCAGGCUCUUCCAGCAGCCACCAGGCCCAGGCUCUUCCAGCAGCCACCAGGCCCAGGCUCUUCCAGCAGCCACCAGGCCCAGGCUCUUCCAGCAGCCACCAGGCCCAGGCUCUUCCAGCAGCCACCAGGCCCAGGAUCCUCCAGCAGCCACCAGGCCCAGGAUCCUCCAGCAGCCACCAGGCCCAGGCUCUUCCAGCAGCCACUAGGCCCAGGAUCCUCCUGCUCCACCAGGCCCAGGAUCCUCCAGCAGCCACCAGGCCCAGGCUCUUCCAGCAGCCACUAGGCCCAGGAUCCUCCUGCUCCACCAGGCCCAGGAGCGUUAAGAUGCCGCCUAAGAGGAGCAACGUUAAUGAGGAGGAACUGGAGGACAUAAAGAAAUCCCUAAACUUUAUGUCUGAAGAAAUAACAACAAUUUCAAAACAACAAAAACUGAUACUCAAUUUAAUGGAUGAUAUUAAAGAACUAAGAAGGCAGAGCGAGGAAAAGGACAAG
This is a long non-coding RNA of Astatotilapia calliptera (eastern happy), 583 nucleotides long. The record is from Ensembl. NCBI's taxonomy places the organism in Eukaryota, Metazoa, Chordata, Actinopteri, Cichliformes, Cichlidae.